This 1107-nucleotide long non-coding RNA is filed under the name Coturnix japonica (Japanese quail). Its description in RNAcentral is "lncRNA (ENSCJPG00005009369.1)". The record is from RNAcentral. Lineage: Eukaryota; Metazoa; Chordata; Aves; Galliformes; Phasianidae.
GUUUUAGAGAAAGUUCAAGAUACCCUCAGGUGAUGUACACUGUCCUUUGUGGAUUUCCUGGAACCCAAACAAAUCAUCAGCUCCAACUGCCAUAUUGCAACACUUUGACAAAGCCAAAGGCUUGAACUUCCAAAGUCAGGUCAGAGAAGAAGACAGCCUUUCUCUUGCAACACAAUAAUGCCAGGUCCCACACCAGUUUGAAGACUGUGGAGCACAUUGAAGAUGACGGCCAGGAAAGAUGUGGAGACCCAGACAGAGAUCCCCAGCACACGUAGGAGGAAGGCUGCUGCCAGGAUGAGUGUGGAGACCCAGACUGAGGUCCCCAAGCAGCAUGCUAGCGUGCAAGUCGAAGGCUGCAGUGAGUGUCAGAGUCUGGCCCUUGAAGUGCCAGUUGAUGGAAGCCAUGCCUGUGUCAGGUGUGACCAGAUAAAUGAUUUGCUUAGUAUGGUGGUCUGCCUGAAGGAAGAGGUGGAGAGGUUGAGGUCCAUUAAGGACUGUGAAAUUGAAAUUGAUGGGUGGUGCCAGGCCCUAUCGGCCCUGGGAUCCAGGCACGCAGCUGAGGCUCCCCAAGGAGCAUGUUGCCCCCAGUCGCCUUGCGAACAGGCGAUAGAAAGGAGUGUGCAGAUGGACUGUGCUCCUGCUGCACUGAGCCCUCAGUCCUCCCUUACCCCUACCAAUACAAAUGUAGAGGUAGGGGGUGUGGGACUGUCGGCAGAGCCUCUAUCCUGCAGUUGCCAAUCAGACCAAAGUAGUCUGAGAGAAAAGGAUGGGUGGAAACAGGUACCGGUGGCUCGGCGAAGUGGGCGUCCCCCCCCACGACCAUGCUCGGCUCCCCAGGUGCCUCUGCAAAAUAGGUUUGGGGCCCUGGAACCCGAGGGAGAGGUGAAUGCGGAUGUGGAGGCAGCCCCACCUGUAAGGGUGCCUUGGGGGAAGCGGUCACACCCGCUCCUCAAAUCUUCUUCCACACGGAAGGAUAGAAGGGUAGUCGUCAUAGGUGACUCCCUUCUGCAAGGAAUGGAAGGUCCCAUAUGACGGCCGGACCCUACCCGCAGGGAGGUGUGCUCCCUCCCCGGGGCAUGGGUCAGGGACAUUACUGGGAGACUUUGC